RNAcentral lists this ribosomal RNA (386 nucleotides) under Hygrocybe coccinea. RNAcentral describes it as "eukaryotic LSU rRNA". The stretch from base 1 to 106 matches the Rfam family "5.8S ribosomal RNA", at positions 50 to 154 of the family's 154-position model. The record is from RNAcentral. Lineage: Eukaryota; Fungi; Basidiomycota; Agaricomycetes; Agaricales; Hygrophoraceae.
GAAAUGCGAUACGUAAUGUGAAUUGCAGAAUUCCGUGAAUCAUUGAAUCUUUGAACGCACCUUGCGCCCCUUGGCUAUUCCGAGGGGCAUGCCUGUUUGAGUGUCAUUGUUAACUCUUCUCAACUUUGGCUUUUGAUUCAAAGGCCCAAAGCUUGGACAGUGGGGGGGUGUUGCUGGCUCGGGUCGGCUCCUCUGAAAAGAAUUAGCGAAAGUGAAACGUACCUUGUUCCUGCAAUCUCUUGCUUCUGGCAUUGAUAGUUGUCCAUGCCUGCUGCAUCCUGGGGGGUUGCCUUUAAAUUGGGAUGGGCGCGAUUCUCGCUUACAGUUGUCUUCGGACCUUUUGAACGCAUCACCUCAAAUCAGGUAGGACUACCCGCUGAACUUAA